This 730-nucleotide long non-coding RNA is filed under the name Chloebia gouldiae (Gouldian finch). RNAcentral describes it as "Erythrura gouldiae (Gouldian finch) lncRNA (ENSEGOG00005005433.1)". Lineage: Eukaryota; Metazoa; Chordata; Aves; Passeriformes; Passeridae. The record is from RNAcentral.
CACAGCAGUGCCAAGAGACCGAGUGAGAACAAGGAAAACACAAGUCUCAUUUGCAGCAGAGGCCGCAAUUAAAAAUCCAUAUCCUUACUACGAAAAAGAUGAAAAAAAAAAUAGGAUGGCCUAGCGCUGCUGAAUCCUCCCGUCCUCGUUCUGCUGUAAAAUCUGGUUUCCAUGUAUUGCUGACCACAGCAGAGCUCGCAGACCUCACACCUGGGUUCCUGAGCUGGUUUGCACAGCUCCCAGCUGGGAAGAAGCCCCCCAUGCAGAAAGGUGAUUGUGGCACAGCAUCCUCAUCCCCGCUGAGCUCUGGGAGACGUCCAAAACAGCACUCAGGCACCAGAGUGCAACUUGUGCAGACUGCUGGCGCCCGUGCUGGUGAGAGCAGCCCCGGGAAGCUCUGCCUGCCCUGCUCAGCUCCGGCAGAUGCUCCGAGUGCCCGCAGCUCCUGGGGAACGCUCCCGAGGCGCCGCAAGGUCUGGCGCCCCGUCGUGCCCCACUGCUCCCGUGGGCUCAAUUCCCUCAGCUGCUCCUUGCCUCCUUGGCCAGAAAUCAGUGUUUUUUCCUUUUCCUGAGUGGCUCAGGGCUCCAGGCCACACCCUGCAGAACACAACACAGAAUCGGGGGCACCCGCCCUGCGGAGCAAUGCGCUCGCUGCGAUUCCCAGCCCACCCCGCCACGCCAGCGCCGCAAACCGAAUAAAAUCACCCGGGGAAACGGCCUGGGGUGGGCC